RNAcentral lists this ribosomal RNA (297 nucleotides) under uncultured bacterium. RNAcentral describes it as "partial 16S ribosomal RNA". It matches the Rfam family "Bacterial small subunit ribosomal RNA", at positions 775 to 1067 of the family's 1533-position model. The record is from RNAcentral.
GGAUUAGAUACCCUGGUAGUCCAUGCCGUAAACGUUGGGCACUAGGUAUGGGAUCAUAUCAACGGAUUCCGUGCCGUAGCUAACGCAUUAAGUGCCCCGCCUGGGGAGUACGGCCGCAAGGCUAAAACUCAAAGGAAUUGACGGGGGCCCGCACAAGCGGCGGAGCAUGUUGCUUAAUUCGAGGCAACGCGAAGAACCUUACCUGGGUUUGACAUCUGGAGAAUCUUCCCGAAAAGGAAGAGUGCCCUUCGGGGAGCUCCAAGACAGGUGCUGCUUGGCUGUCGUCAGCUCGUGUUG